AGAGUCAGUCAGCCUAAUCCACUCUUUUUUAAUGGAGUUGGAACGGGGGAACCAUUUUUAGGGGCUUAUCUUGAUUGUUUACUAUUGUCGAGAAGGACAUCUCUCAGUCCUAGCCCGUCAGCUAACCCCGUCGGCUGUGAGAGAAGACUG
Regulatory RNA element from Planktothrix tepida PCC 9214, 150 nucleotides. It matches the Rfam family "c-di-AMP riboswitch aptamer (ydaO/yuaA leader)". From Rfam's summary of the family: This family represents a conserved RNA structure found upstream of the ydaO and yuaA genes in Bacillus subtilis and related genes in other bacteria. The ydaO/yuaA element is thought to act as a genetic "off" switch for the ydaO and yuaA genes in its native state. The record is from Rfam. NCBI's taxonomy places the organism in Bacteria, Bacillati, Cyanobacteriota, Cyanophyceae, Oscillatoriales, Microcoleaceae.